Molecule: small nuclear RNA, 314 nt
Filed under: Jaculus jaculus (lesser Egyptian jerboa)
Lineage: Eukaryota; Metazoa; Chordata; Mammalia; Rodentia; Dipodidae
Description: 7SK RNA (ENSJJAG00000004326.1)
Rfam family: 7SK RNA
About the family: 7SK was discovered as an abundant small nuclear RNA in the mid-70s but a possible function has only recently been suggested.
Source: Rfam by way of RNAcentral
UGAUGUGAGGGUGUUUUGGCUGCAACAUCUGUCACCUCAUUGAUCUCCAGGGUUGAUUCCCCUGAUCUGGCUGGCUAGGCAGGUAUCCUCUGCUUCCCUCACCACUCCAUGUGCAUUCCUCCUGAAGCUGAACUCUCACUGCAGACAACAGCUUUCCCAAAAUAGAGGAGGAUCAAUCUUUGGUCAAGUGCAUACAAGUAGCUGAGCUCCCCUGCUAGAACUUCCAAACAAACUCUCAAGGGAGAGAUUACAAUUAGUGAAUUGAAAAUCAAGACCUAAUUAUGUUAUGUCUAUAAGGGAUAUACUUCAAAUAU